Molecule: ribosomal RNA, 256 nt
Filed under: Clostridioides difficile
Lineage: Bacteria; Bacillati; Bacillota; Clostridia; Peptostreptococcales; Peptostreptococcaceae
Description: partial 16S ribosomal RNA
Rfam family: Bacterial small subunit ribosomal RNA
Source: RNAcentral
CGAUCAGUAGCCGACCUUAGAGGGUGAUCGGCCACAUUGGAACUGAGACACGGUCCAAACUCCUACGGGAGGCAGCAGUGGGGAAUAUUGCACAAUGGGCGAAAGCCUGAUGCAGCAACGCCGCGUGAGUGAUUAAGGCCUUCGGGUCGUAAAACUCUGUCCUCAAGGAAGAUAAUGACGGUACUUGAGGAGGAAGCCCCGGCUAACUACGUGCCAGCAGCCGCGGUUAUACUUAGGGUGUAGCUCCGGAUUUACU